CAUACGCAAGGUUACUGUGCCAGGCCAGCAGCCGAGCUUUGGGAAUGUCAAAACAACAUCAUAAAAAGGGAGAAUUAUUACAGUUUUGUGUGGCGCUUCAACACACACCACAACUUCAAUUAUACACAAACAAGCUAAGAAUACUCUCGAAGGCCCGCUGACAUAAACACCUCAGUCAUCUCUCCUCAGCGCUUGCUGUUCCCUCGCUCUUGUUUUCUUUCUCUUCCAGUGGUCUCUGCAGUCUACAACAGCCUCUGCAGCUGGGUGCCUGCUCCUCUCUGUACAGAGGAAUUAUGGAACUGCAAAACUUCACACAUGCAACAUCCCCAGCGUGGUGAAACCUUGAUGUAUAAUAGCACCGAAACUCAAGACAGAAACAUGGGAAAUCCAAUCAGCGUCCCAGUGCUACCUGACCAUGGGAAAGACGGAGCAAGGAGGAGACAUCCGAGGCUCUCCAAAUAUGACUCAUCCCUCUGUCUGUUAUCCUGCUGGCUUUCUAUUCUUGCAUCUUUCUAUUCAGCCUUUGUAUGGACUUCUGGCUUCACCCCACUUCAGCAGUCUUCUGGAAAUCUCCAUUAAGUCACUGCACUAGAGGCGACCAGGGUCAAAAGGCCUAACUUCACUGUAUGUUGCUCACAGACCAAGAGGCUAACCCUCCACCACCACCACCUCUGUAACACAAUCCACACACUCCUGUAAUCAGGACACAACAGUCAGGCUGCCAUAGAAACGAGAGGUUUGUGUCUGCACAACACUCGGCCCUCUUUGUUUCUACUCUCGCACUCUUGUUCUAAGGUGAGGUCAGCCAUGGAGAGUGGGAGGGGAGAGAGCAGAAUGCCUUCUUAUUGAGGUCAGAGUGGUACAGGAGAGGUGCAUAUAUGCAGCGCUGCAUGCUGAAAAGCAGGCUGUGCUGUGAUUUCUCUUCUCUUCCAGCAGGGGUGGUUCAUUAAUGAGUUAUAAAUGAAUUAUGCCCGUUGUCAGCGGCAGGAAUGAGGGACAUCUUUCACACA
This is a long non-coding RNA of Perca fluviatilis (European perch), 1010 nucleotides long. RefSeq lists it as uncharacterized. The transcript has 3 exons. The record is from RefSeq and is a predicted model, not a curated record. Lineage: Eukaryota; Metazoa; Chordata; Actinopteri; Perciformes; Percidae.